This 419-nucleotide long non-coding RNA is filed under the name Cyanistes caeruleus (blue tit). RNAcentral describes it as "lncRNA (ENSCCEG00000019510.1)". The record is from RNAcentral. Lineage: Eukaryota; Metazoa; Chordata; Aves; Passeriformes; Paridae.
GAAUCAUUAACUCUGUUUUACAGAUGAAGACAAAGCUGAAGUGAGCUGCCCAGUUUGUGCUGCAGGAGUCUCCAUGAGGAGCACAUGGGCAGAGAAGAUCUACGGAUCUCCGUGGAGUCACCUGGAGAAGUGUGAGGCCAGCCAGGAAAGCACUGAGACAAGGGAUGUGUGGUGCUGACUCUGCUGGGCUGGAGAUCCCAAGGGAAAUUCAUGGGGUGGGCUUGACAAAAUCUUGUGCUUCUGAGCUCAGCAAUGAAGUUUUAAUCACCCCAAUAUACAUCUUUCCACGAUAUAUAUUUUUCUGUCUACCAAAGACAUAAUGGCUGCUCCUUUUAUGGGAAACCAGGAUUUAAUCCAGCAAACAAAAUGACAGAAUCAGAGACCAGUGUCCUGCUCUGGUGAGUCACAAUGAUUUUAUC